This is an RNA transcript of Coffea arabica (coffee), 1180 nucleotides long. RefSeq lists it as uncharacterized. The record is from RefSeq and is a predicted model, not a curated record. Lineage: Eukaryota; Viridiplantae; Streptophyta; Magnoliopsida; Gentianales; Rubiaceae.
GCUUCUGUCCCCUUUCGUUGGGUAAGAAGAUGAAGCGGAAAGCAAAGUCAGUGAAGAGCAGAAAGCAAAGAAGAGGAAAGAAAGCCAUGGACCUACUUGCAUUUAACACUCAAACCCAUUUUCAUUUUCCAAUUUCUAAGAUUAUUCCGCCUCGGAGGCAGAGGCAAUGUAGUGCGAAUGACUUGGUUCUUCUAUCUCAAUUUUCUAAAGAAGAAUGCUUCUCUUCUAACAUGAGGUGGAAAGGGCAACCUGUUCAUGAAAGGACAAAAAUUAAACAACUUCAUGCUCUUAGAGUUAUAUCUUCAGGUUUGGAAGAUUCUCAAGCUUCUUCUUCCCAGUUUGAGGAAUUUUCUGUAACGCCGUGUAAAACUGACAAAGCUAAUGAAUUGAAGAUAAGCAUGGUUGUAGAAGGCAAAAGAACUCAAGCAAUUUUUGAUGAUGUGUUUUCUUCGAUGGUUGCUGAUGCUCAGCCAAUUCCAGGGUUUCGAAGAGUCAAAGGAGGAAAGACAACGAAUAUACCCAAAAACAUUCUUUUGGAAAUUCUUGGGCCAUCAAAAGUUUACAAACAAGUCAUUAAAAGAAUAAUAAGCUCUACCAUCUCUGAUUAUGUGCAGAAGGAUGCCACGAUGUUAGCUACUUAUAUCCUUUCUAGAAGCAUAUCCAAGUGGUCUCUUGUACGCUUGAAGACCGAGAAUUUGUUCUAGCAAGUUGGCUUACAUCCAAAAAGCUGUUGCAUGACAGAGAUAUUUUGUAUGUGUUUUUCCAUGACAUAAUUCAGAUUUACCCUAAACAUGUAUCAGGAAGGUUUGUCAGUUGGUAAAGAUUUGCGAGUGCAACAAAGUUUUGAAGAUCUUGAAGCAACAUUUGAACCUGGUGAUCAGUUCAAAUUUGAGGCCAUCCUUCAGUGUCAAGAUUGAAGUUUUACAAAUAAAGCUUUUUGGUAUUUUAUUGUUGUUUAGAACUUAGCUUAGCUUGGUUAUGGCAUAGUGUUUUGUAAAGCAUGAUGUUAAAAUUCGUUGCUUCCCAGUUCUAUUUGGAAGUAUGAUUGUGGGAGAUAUAGUUCAUAUUUGAUUCAACUUCUAAUUGUGCCUUAUCCCAUGGGGUUUGCCCAACUAAAAUUUGUCAUUCCAAAGCUUCAAGAGAAUGCUAGAUUAGAACCCAAGUUCAUUGGGGUGAGAAA